AUGUGGUUCAAAUUCAUUAGAAAUUCUCCAAAUCUCCACCCUCCUCAGGGUGCAGAGUUGGCUGCUUUUCUGUGUCCCCUGCUGAUCACCGCAACUCCUGGGUGCCUCGCCCUGAGAAGCCCCCGCUGUCCUCCAUCUGCAGACAAGCCGAGGCGGAUGCCACUGGACAUCCUUGCCAAGGUGUGUCAGUUUCAAUUAAACCCAGAAUGGGGUGUUGGAGCUCAAAGGAGCCAUCGUCAAGCCAUUGCUUGAGCAAAGGAAGAGGAUGUUCUCAGGCCUGAUGGAGUCACUGAGGGACCCUGAUGAGGGCUCUGAGUAGCCCUGGAUGGGAAGGAGACCUCUCCAUCCCCAGGCACAGGGAGACCAGCCUGUGCAGUAUUUUCCUCUCCUGCAUUUCAAGCCAGCUAAAGGCAGCCUUCACUUCCAGCUUCACUUCAGGAGUCCCCAUCUCUGAAGCCAGAUUCACCUGCGGCGGCUUCUUCCUGGUGACCUGACAUCGCUUUCAUGAUGUUUUUAUUCCAGAACCACCUGAGAGAGAAAAGAGAACUGGUUAUAAAAAGGAACUGCUUCUUUUAAUGACUCUUAAACUCCAGAGUGACCUGCCCAAGGGCAGGGAGCAGUGGAGCCUGGGGUGUUUCUGACAGCAGGGGCCAUCCAUCACCUGGCCCUGCCUCUGGCUUUGCACUGCCUUCCGCAGACCUCAUCACUGCUGUCCUCUGUGGCAUUUAAUCAAUGGCCUUUCUAGGAGUUCUGAGUGAUGCUGUCUCUUGUCAGAUGAGAAUCCACCUGCAGCUGCCUCUGGAAGGAGUGUUCCAAAAGAGGAGGGUCCCAGGUUCUCCCUCUGCUGGGUAGGGGGAGGUCAUAGGAGACGCGUUGGCCCCUGGGCAGCCCUUGUGGUUCCUGAAAUUCCACAGCAACAACAUGGAACCUCCAGGCUCCUCCAGGCUCAGCCCCAGAGGUGGGAUGGAAGAGAUGCCCAGAGCUCUGGGCUCCUGCAAAACCCAGCUCCCUUGUCUGCUCACAGCCGUGGCUCUGCCAUCACCUACCUGGAACCUGGCAGACUGUUCUUAUCUCCCCUCUAUCCCUGGUCAUGUCAGCAGCCAGGAAGCCCAGGACCCAAGUCCCCCCUCAUCCCCACUCUAAUCUCCCCCAGCUCUGAGGCAUGAAGACCCCCCCAACUCUUCCUGAUCCCCUUGACCCCUCUUACUCCCUGAGCCUGGGAUCCCCUUACUAUCCUCCCUCCACCUUCUUUUCCCCACAGCAUGGCUACCCUUGCACAUGCUCAGUUUCUUGCUCAUUUAUUUAUUUGAGUUCUAGAACGCAUGCUUUGGGCAGCAAGAGCUUUUGUCUGCAGAUUUUUAUCUCAUGUAAAACAGGCCAUGGCUCUGGAGAGGGAGAAGUGCUAUGACGGGCCACUGGAGAAGUGGCUCAGGGUCAGAGGCACCUGUGGUGGGGGGACAGUGAAGGCUGCGGGGACGGAAGACCAGAGCUCAAGUGCUGCCUGCCUUUAACUUUCUGGACAGGCCAUGGGAAAGGCUAGGCGGGGCUCCGGUUCCAAGUGUGGCGAGGAAGUCACUUGUCACCAGGUUUCCCUGCAAUGGAGCCACCCAUUAAUGCAUAAUGUCUGCUCCUGCAAGCCUGUGAAAUACGUCCCAGGCCAGGGCUUUGAAUCCUGAGCGGCAA
RNAcentral lists this long non-coding RNA (1683 nucleotides) under Macaca mulatta (Rhesus monkey). RNAcentral describes it as "lncRNA (ENSMMUG00000055085.1)". The record is from RNAcentral. Lineage: Eukaryota; Metazoa; Chordata; Mammalia; Primates; Cercopithecidae.